RNAcentral lists this transfer RNA (51 nucleotides) under Rhopalomyia pomum. RNAcentral's name for it is "tRNA-Pro". The record is from RNAcentral. Lineage: Eukaryota; Metazoa; Arthropoda; Insecta; Diptera; Cecidomyiidae.
AAAAUAUUAAUUUAAUUCAAAAUAUUAAUUUUGGAAAUUAAAAAUAUUUAA